AAACCUUAUAAAAAUGCAAAAGUUUUAACUGUAGCUUAUGAAUAGUACCCGCUGGUGCUAUUACAGAGAUGUCCUUGAAUUCAUUGAAUUGCCGAUUUUGCCCUUUAUUGUUUUGUUUCUUUGGUGGCCUGGCUGUCGCCAUCUGUCUUCUCUCUCUUAACUCUUAAGGCUUCUUCCUUCUCCUCUCGGCGCUCCCAUUCUUUAUCUCCUCCAUUGGAGCAGUUUCUGAGGUACAAAACAAAAGAAUUUAUGAUUUAAUUUUUGUUUAUUUCUUUUGUUCAUCUAUUCGAUUAGAUUUUUCCUCUUAUAAGAAUGGAGGCGGACGCAGCAGCGAAACCAAUAAUCAAUGUCGCUGCCAUUUGCGGCUCCUUUCCAUACAACAUAGACCUCCUCCGAGCAGGCGGAAGGAGUAAGACGGAGCAAGGUUUGGUGGAUUCGAGUUUGAGUUUUCGAUUGAAUUUGAUAUCAAAUGGCUCUUACAUAGCAACUAGCUACAAAGGCAAACAUUUUAAAGAAAUGUCGUGACCAUGGAAUGGGCCCUGUAGGUUUCUAUGAGCCUUGUUUUCGAGAGGGAGGGAAGUUGCAUUUGAGCAUGAUGUGUUUUGGUCAGUUUUGGGAUCCUGAUGCCAGCAAAUAUGUAAAAAAUCGGCCAAUUGAUCAAGCAAAACCACCGUCACUUCCACAUGAAUUUCUAAUGACAAGGAUUAGAGUCGGGAGAGUCUUGGGAAAGGAAUACCUAUUGUGUCUUUCUCCAUUGGUGACUCUGCAGAAUUUUUAUAUGGUGAUCAGGCAGAUGCUGAAAAGGCUGAUAAGAUUAAAUUAGAAUCUGGAGAUGUUCUAAUAUUCGGAGAAACAAAAGGUUGAGGACAAAUUAAAGGUUCUUUUGGAGACUGUCCCUGUACACAAAGAAAGUGGCGGAUAUAUAUUUGUUGCAAGCUUUGAAAUAAGCCUCAAGGAGCAAACAGGAAAGAUAAGUUUCUUAGAUCCAAUAGGGUUGAAAUAUACCCCGUAUACAAAGUUAUUAUAAAUAAGAGUGACAAUUUUGUAAUCAUUAACUAAUUACUACAGUCAUUAACAAUAGUAUGAAUUUUGGAAUCAUUCAAAAUUGGCUCAGUUUGAUUACAAUGAGACUUAUUUAAUUAAGCACUAAUUUAGGUA
This is an RNA transcript of Chenopodium quinoa (quinoa), 1158 nucleotides long. RefSeq lists it as uncharacterized. The record is from RefSeq and is a predicted model, not a curated record. The transcript has 6 exons. Lineage: Eukaryota; Viridiplantae; Streptophyta; Magnoliopsida; Caryophyllales; Amaranthaceae.